Molecule: ribosomal RNA, 588 nt
Filed under: uncultured bacterium
Lineage: Bacteria
Description: bacterial SSU rRNA
Rfam family: Bacterial small subunit ribosomal RNA
Source: RNAcentral
ACGGGUGAGUAAUGCUUAGGAAUCUGCCUAUUAGUGGGGGACAACAUCUCGAAAGGGAUGCUAAUACCGCAUACGUCCUACGGGAGAAAGCAGGGGACCUUCGGGCCUUGCGCUAAUAGAUGAGCCUAAGUCGGAUUAGCUAGUUGGUGGGGUAAAGGCCUACCAAGGCGACGAUCUGUAGCGGGUCUGAGAGGAUGAUCCGCCACACUGGGACUGAGACACGGCCCAGACUCCUACGGGAGGCAGCAGUGGGGAAUAUUGGACAAUGGGGGGAACCCUGAUCCAGCCAUGCCGCGUGUGUGAAGAAGGCCUUUUGGUUGUAAAGCACUUUAAGCGAGGAGGAGGCUACCGAGAUUAAUACUCUUGGAUAGUGGACGUUACUCGCAGAAUAAGCACCGGCUAACUCUGUGCCAGCAGCCGCGGUAAUACAGAGGGUGCAAGCGUUAAUCGGAUUUACUGGGCGUAAAGCGCGCGUAGGUGGCCAAUUAAGUCAAAUGUGAAAUCCCCGAGCUUAACUUGGGAAUUGCAUUCGAUACUGGUUGGCUAGAGUAUGGGAGAGGAUGGUAGAAUUCCAGGUGUAGCGGUGAA